This 496-nucleotide ribosomal RNA is filed under the name uncultured bacterium. RNAcentral describes it as "bacterial SSU rRNA". It matches the Rfam family "Bacterial small subunit ribosomal RNA", at positions 29 to 518 of the family's 1533-position model. The record is from RNAcentral.
AUGAACGCUAGCGACAGGCCUAACACAUGCAAGUCAGGGGCAGCACAAGGAGCAAUCUGAGGUGGCGACCGGCGGCACGGGUGAGUAACACGUAUGCAACCUGACCUGUAAGCGGGGAAUAACCCGUUGAAAGACGGACUAAUACCGCAUAAUACUAAAUUACUGCAUGGUAAUUUAUUUAAACAUUUAUGGCUUACAGAUGGGCAUGCGCAUGAUUAGCUAGUUGGAGAGGUAACGGCUCCCCAAGGCAACGAUCAUUAGGGGUUCUGAGAGGAAGGUCCCCCACACUGGUACUGAGACACGGACCAGACUCCUACGGGAGGCAGCAGUGAGGAAUAUUGGUCAAUGGACGAGAGUCUGAACCAGCCAAGUCGCGUGCAGGAAGAAUGUCCCUAUGGAUUGUAAACUGCUUUUGCAGGGGAAUAAAGUGCAUCACGUGUGAUGUUUUGUAUGUACUCUGCGAAUAAGGAUCGGCUAACUCCGUGCCAGCCGCAGC